CGCCGCCUCAGCCCGCCGCCGGCGCUCAGCCUCCGCGCCAAAGGCGAGCGCUGCGCUCCCGGCGCCGCCAUCCCGAGGACGCGGCCUCGCCGGCACCUCCGACCUGGCAAGCGGCAGCCUCGGCUGCGGGGCGGCUGCGGCUCCGCUCUCGGCUGCGGCUUCUCACCUCGUUGGCAGCCUGUCCCGGCCGCGGGGACACCCCCGUCGUCCUCCCUCUAAGGCUAGUGGACCGACGGACGGACGGAGGAUCGAGGGCCCGACUGCGGGCAGCGGACAGCACCGUGUGAGUGGUGCUCUGGAGCACCUUGGUGAUUACCGCACAGUCCUUUUCCUGGGACAGUUUCUGGAAAGGACCAAUAUAUAUCCAACUUACCCAGAUAUAAUCCAAGAUUAAUGGAGAUAUUGCAGAGCAGAUUACUCUUGGCUCUCUAAGACUAGGUAAGAGUUUACAAAUGCAUUUACUGUUUGCAGAUAAUAUUGAUAUUAUGGCAUGUCCUGAAUAUAUUGCUGCCUUGUCAUAAAUUGGAGAUUUAUAUUAACUGAAUAUACAAAUGGUAGAAGGGAAAAAUAGGUUACCUCUAAAAGGCACUGAUGUAUUGAUUGAAAUGCAUGUUAUGACCUGAGCAUAUGCCAGUAUAUCUGAAGGU
RNAcentral lists this long non-coding RNA (647 nucleotides) under Dasypus novemcinctus (nine-banded armadillo). RNAcentral describes it as "lncRNA (ENSDNOG00000052985.1)". Lineage: Eukaryota; Metazoa; Chordata; Mammalia; Cingulata; Dasypodidae. The record is from RNAcentral.